Molecule: long non-coding RNA, 380 nt
Organism: Oreochromis niloticus (Nile tilapia)
Lineage: Eukaryota; Metazoa; Chordata; Actinopteri; Cichliformes; Cichlidae
Exons: 3
Source: RefSeq, a predicted model, not a curated record
CUGGUCCGAGUGUCAGGUGAACUGAACUUCAGGUACUUCAUGACGAAGAGUUCCUGCAGAGCUGCUGUGAUUCUUCUGGGCCUGCUGUGUCUUCUUCUCUUGAUUGGACUCAUAACUCUGUUUUUUCUUUUCACCCAAGGCAAAUCUCAGCAGACAGUGGAGAUGAUGAUGUCAUAAAACCGUUACAAAAACCUGACCAGAAAGUGGAAUGAGUUGCAGACCAGUUACAGCAGCGUAACAACUGAACAACACCAGUUACAGACCAGGCACAGUAUUCUGAAAAUGGAACGAGACCAGCUACAGAAAAGCUACAACAAUAUGGUGGAAGACAGAGGCCAGCUCCAAAAGAGAUUUGAAGACAUGACCAAAAAUAGAGAUGA